GUGAACGCUGGCGGUAGGCCUAACACAUGCAAGUCGUACGGCAGCACAGUAAUAGCUUGCUCUUCCGGGUGGCGAGUGGCGUUCGGGUGAGGAAUUCAUCGGAAUCUACUUUUUCGUUGGGUAUAACUUAGGGAAACUUACGCUAAUACCGCAUACUACCUACGGGUUAAAGCAUGGGAUCUUCGUACCUUUCGCUAUUUAUUGAGCCGAUGUCGGAUUAGCUAGUUGGCUGGGUAAAGGCCCACCAAGGCGACGAUCCGUAGCUGGUCUGAGAGGAUGAUCAGACAAACUGGAAGGGAGACACGGAACAGAAUACUACGGGAGGAAGCAGUGGGGAAUAUGGGACAAUGGGCGAAAGGCUGAUACAGCAAUACCGCGUGGGUGAAGAAGGACUUAGGGUUGUAAAGCCAUUUUGUUGGGAAAGAAAAGAAGCAGGUUAAUACCCCGAUGUUAUGACGGUACCCAAAGAAUAAGAACCGGCUAACUUCGUG
Molecule: ribosomal RNA, 491 nt
Filed under: uncultured bacterium
Lineage: Bacteria
Description: partial 16S ribosomal RNA
Rfam family: Bacterial small subunit ribosomal RNA
Source: RNAcentral